RNAcentral lists this ribosomal RNA (440 nucleotides) under uncultured bacterium. RNAcentral's name for it is "partial 16S ribosomal RNA". It matches the Rfam family "Bacterial small subunit ribosomal RNA", at positions 338 to 795 of the family's 1533-position model. The record is from RNAcentral.
CCUACGGGAGGCUGCAGUGGGGAAUAUUGCACAAUGGGGGAAACCCUGAUGCAGCGACGCCGCGUGAGUGAAGAAGUAUUUCGGUAUGUAAAGCCCUAUCAGCAGGGAAGAAAAUGACGGUACCUGAUUAAGAAGCCCCGGCUAACUACGUGCCAGCCGCCGCGGUAAUACGUAGGGGGCAAGCGUUUUCCGGAUUUACUGGGUGUAAGGGGAGCGUAGACGGCAGCACAAGUCUGGAGUGAAAUGCCGGGGCUUAACCCCGGAACUGCUUUGGAAACUGUGCAGCUAGAGUGCAGGAGAGGUAAGUGGAAUUCCUAGUGUAGCGGUGAAAUGCGUAGAUAUUAGGAGGAACACCAGUGGCGAAGGCGGCUUACUGGACUGUAACUGACGUUGAGGCUCGAAAGCGUGGGGAGCAAACAGGAUUAGAUACCCCGGUAGUC